Molecule: long non-coding RNA, 650 nt
Organism: Ictalurus punctatus (channel catfish)
Lineage: Eukaryota; Metazoa; Chordata; Actinopteri; Siluriformes; Ictaluridae
Exons: 2
Source: RefSeq, a predicted model, not a curated record
GAUAAGUGAACUACCCUAUUGACCCUGCUCGGGGUAUGGCUUUGGCAGAUCAAUAAGGUCGGAGCUACCCUAUUAUUUAAGGACCUUUAUUUUGGCAGGAGCAUAUGUGUAUUGGUGAUUCAGAGUUCCUCGCUCCCUGGCAUUUCCGGUUCAGUUUCAGUUCCCGGUUCAGUUCAGGUACGUUGAGGCUUUGCUCAGGGUGUAAUGAGGUGAACAUUUCAAGGCUAAUUUGUUUAUUUAUAGUUUUGGAGCGGCGCUGGUGGCGCGUGCGUUCAGUGAUAGUAACAUUAGCCGCGCGUGCGUAAUCAUACAACUUCGUGUCUGGUGUUUGUUCAACCCAAUAGAAGCAGUGAGUCUUGGUGGACAGGGGAAGCUAGCUGCCUUCAUUCGGUGGUGUGUGCUUCACAGCGUGCUCAGUGUACCAGCUCAACAACUUCCUUAUGGUGUAGGUAGUGUUUAAUGAUUUGGUUUUAAUUAAGGUGGGUUUGGAUGACCUCCCAGGAAGUAACUGGCCUGCCUUGUUCCCACCAAGCCUGGGCCUGGAGAAUUGCUUAGUUUUAAAAUUCUUAUUGUGCUACAUGGGAGAGCGACUUUAUAUUUAUAAGUUUUAAUGAUGCUUAAGUGUGAUAAUAAAAUGUAACUUUUAUUGA